RNAcentral lists this unclassified non-coding RNA (169 nucleotides) under uncultured Agaricales. RNAcentral's name for it is "sequence contains ITS1". Lineage: Eukaryota; Fungi; Basidiomycota; Agaricomycetes; Agaricales. The record is from RNAcentral.
UUGGAUUAGACUCGAGCAGGCUGCUGCUGGUUCUCCCCUUGGGGGGGGACAUGUGCACGCUUGCUGUUCCUUUUAUUUCUCCUGCUGUGCACAAAUUGUAGACCUCUCUCUGGUCUAUGUUGUUUUUCACAACCUCUACUGAAUGUAAUAGAAUGGUGUAAUAUGCAUA